This 403-nucleotide ribosomal RNA is filed under the name uncultured bacterium. RNAcentral's name for it is "bacterial SSU rRNA". It matches the Rfam family "Bacterial small subunit ribosomal RNA", at positions 355 to 776 of the family's 1533-position model. The record is from RNAcentral.
UGAGGAAUUUUUCACAAUGGGCGAAAGCCUGAUGGAGCGACACCGCGUGGAGGAUGAAGGAUUUAUUUUCGUAAACUCCUUUUUUGUGGGACGAUAAUGACGGUACCACAAGAAUAAGGGGCGGCAAACUAUGUGCCAGCAGCCGCGGUAAUACAUAGGCCCCAAGCGUUAUCCGGAAUUACUGGGCGUAAAGCGUCUGUAGGUGGGAAGACAAGUCGGGUAUAAAAGGAAGAGGCUCAACCUCUUCAUGUGCCCGAAACUGUCUUUCUAGAAUCUGGGAGAGGUAAGCAGAAUUAUGCGAGUAGGGGUGCAAUCCGUUGAUACGCAUAAGAAUACCAAAAGCGAAGGCAGCUUACUGGAACAGUAUUGACACUGAGAGACGAAAGCGUGGGGAGCGAAAAGG